GACGAACCGUGCAAACGUUGUUCGGAAUCACUGGGCUUAAAGGGCGCGUAGGCGGGCCAGCCAGUCUGUGGUGAAAGCCUCCAGCUUAACUGGAGAAGUGCCGUGGAUACUGCUGGCCUCGAGGAGGAUAGGGGCAUCUGGAACGGUCGGUGGAGCAGUGAAAUGCGUUGAUAUCGACCGGAACUCCGGUGGCGAAGGCGAGGUGCUGGGUCCUUUCUGACGCUGAUGCGCGAAAGCCAGGGGAGCAAACGGG
This 253-nucleotide ribosomal RNA is filed under the name uncultured bacterium. Its description in RNAcentral is "partial 16S ribosomal RNA". It matches the Rfam family "Bacterial small subunit ribosomal RNA", at positions 524 to 776 of the family's 1533-position model. The record is from RNAcentral.